AGUGCAGCUUCCUGUACAUCUGCCUGUGUGUCUGCAGUCACUCCACGUGGGCACUGUGGCUUUUGUCUGCAUCUAGACAACUGGGUG
This 87-nucleotide long non-coding RNA is filed under the name Castor canadensis (American beaver). RNAcentral describes it as "Six3os1 conserved region 1 (ENSCCNG00000007830.1)". It matches the Rfam family "Six3os1 conserved region 1". The record is from RNAcentral. Lineage: Eukaryota; Metazoa; Chordata; Mammalia; Rodentia; Castoridae.